This 789-nucleotide ribosomal RNA is filed under the name Arthrobacter humicola. Its description in RNAcentral is "bacterial SSU rRNA". It matches the Rfam family "Bacterial small subunit ribosomal RNA", at positions 706 to 1488 of the family's 1533-position model. Lineage: Bacteria; Bacillati; Actinomycetota; Actinomycetes; Micrococcales; Micrococcaceae. The record is from RNAcentral.
ACACCGAUGGCGAAGGCAGGUCUCUGGGCAUUAACUGACGCUGAGGAGCGAAAGCAUGGGGAGCGAACAGGAUUAGAUACCCUGGUAGUCCAUGCCGUAAACGUUGGGCACUAGGUGUGGGGGACAUUCCACGUUUUCCGCGCCGUAGCUAACGCAUUAAGUGCCCCGCCUGGGGAGUACGGCCGCAAGGCUAAAACUCAAAGGAAUUGACGGGGGCCCGCACAAGCGGCGGAGCAUGCGGAUUAAUUCGAUGCAACGCGAAGAACCUUACCAAGGCUUGACAUGGGCCGGACCGGGCUGGAAACAGUCCUUCCCCUUUGGGGCCGGUUCACAGGUGGUGCAUGGUUGUCGUCAGCUCGUGUCGUGAGAUGUUGGGUUAAGUCCCGCAACGAGCGCAACCCUCGUUCCAUGUUGCCAGCGCGUAAUGGCGGGGACUCAUGGGAGACUGCCGGGGUCAACUCGGAGGAAGGUGGGGACGACGUCAAAUCAUCAUGCCCCUUAUGUCUUGGGCUUCACGCAUGCUACAAUGGCCGGUACAAAGGGUUGCGAUACUGUGAGGUGGAGCUAAUCCCAAAAAGCCGGUCUCAGUUCGGAUUGGGGUCUGCAACUCGACCCCAUGAAGUCGGAGUCGCUAGUAAUCGCAGAUCAGCAACGCUGCGGUGAAUACGUUCCCGGGCCUUGUACACACCGCCCGUCAAGUCACGAAAGUUGGUAACACCCGAAGCCGGUGGCCUAACCCCUUGUGGGAGGGAGCUGUCGAAGGUGGGACUGGCGAUUGGGACUAAGUCG